RNAcentral lists this ribosomal RNA (353 nucleotides) under uncultured Leptolinea sp. RNAcentral's name for it is "bacterial SSU rRNA". It matches the Rfam family "Bacterial small subunit ribosomal RNA", at positions 1014 to 1382 of the family's 1533-position model. The record is from RNAcentral. Lineage: Bacteria; Bacillati; Chloroflexota; Anaerolineae; Anaerolineales; Anaerolineaceae.
GACCCUUCCGGGAGGCUUGCACAGGUGCUGCAUGGCUGUCGUCAGCUCGUGUCGUGAGAUGUUCGGUUAAGUCCGCUAACGAGCGCAACCCUCGCUGUGUGUUACAAGUGUCACACGGUACUGCCGGUCUUAAGCCGGGGAAGGUGGGGAUGACGUCAAGUCAGCAUGGCCUUUACGUCCUGGGCUACACACACGCUACAAUGGCCAACACAAUAGGUUGCUAAGCCGCGAGGUGGAGCCAAUCCUCAAAGUUGGUCUCAGUUCAGAUUGCAGGCUGCAACCCGCCUGCAUGAAGAUGGAGUUGCUAGUAACCGCAGGUCAGCUAUACUGCGGUGAAUACGUUCCCGGGGCUU